This is a non-coding RNA of Tetranychus urticae (two-spotted spider mite), 2626 nucleotides long. Lineage: Eukaryota; Metazoa; Arthropoda; Arachnida; Trombidiformes; Tetranychidae. The record is from RefSeq and is a predicted model, not a curated record.
CUUCUCUAACCCAUAGUAACUCUGUCUUCUCUGUCUAAGUUUCAUCAUUUUUUAUCGUCUUUCCUGCUUAUCUUUCUUUUCUUCUUUCUUAUCUUCUGCUGUCAUCGAUUCAAUCCUGAUUUCGCAUUAUAUUGAAUCAUCAUCUCGCUGUUUAUCCGCUCAAGACCAUGAUAAAGAUUUGGUUAUUUACGGAAAAGCAGAAGAUGAAGCUUUGGCCGUUAAAUAAAUUUUGUCAUUUGAAAAAUUAUUUAACCCCUUACUGGCAAGUUACAGUAUUUACUCGAUCAUAAACCAUUGCAAUGUUAAGUCUCUCUUUGUUUUACUAUUCAUGGACUCAUUUCUUUGUUUCACUUGUUUUUUUCAUCUACUUUCUAAUUAAUUAUAUUUCACUUUUGCUCUGAUAUGUCUCAUCUUAAUUUUCAUCAGAAUCUUCCCUUUCAUUUCUGGUAAUCUACAUAAAUAACAACUUGAUUCCUAACAUUAAAAGCCAAGUAUUCCUUUUCCUUUUACCUUUUUUUUACCUCCUCUGCUUCAUUUCUAUCAAGAGAUUUAACAUUUUUUUUCUUCUUCUUUUACUUUCUCUUCUUUAGCCUGUGUUAUUUUUAAUAUUACCUGUUGUAUUCCAUGACCGUUACCGUUGAAUGAGGAUCAAGGGAAAAAAUCUACUCAUUUUUUGCCUUCAAUGGAGACAUUCUUGAAGCCAGUGAAAAGGAGAAAACAAAACAAACACAUGAAAGCUAAAAGUCUUCAGAUUGAAAUAAAGGAAAGCCAACAAUGAAUAAGCCCAUCAUUUAUGCUUAUUUAAUGUACCAUGUAGAAGAGCCUCUGAUGCAGGAUAACCUCAGUGAACAAGCAAUAUCCUACAAGUUUAGUGCCAAGGAGAAAAAAAAGCCAAACGAUAUGGAAAAUAAUACCUUUAUUGACAAAGAAUAUUCAAGGUAGAAACAGAUACAGAGCAUUGGAAUUCACCCGAAACAAUCGACGAAUAAUCUUACAUGUUAAAAAAUGAUGACCGGAAAAAAGAUUAUCUAUUGAAAUGGUUGAUUUGACCAAGAAAGAUUUGACCUGACCUACAAUACUCUGUAAAAUAACCAGAUAAUAAAAUGAAUAUAAAACCACGAUUAACCUUUAAUCCCUUGGACAAGGUAAAAAAAAGUAAAAGAUAUAAAAGCAAGGAAAGUGCAAGUUAACAGAAAAGGCAAAAAGCAAGAUGUAAAGUCAAAAGGAGCCCAUUGUUAUCGCUAUUGAAGAAAAGACCAACGAAAAUGAUGAAGAUGAAGAGGCAAAUGUGAAGGAGCAAAUGUAAAAUACAAGUUAUCAUGUUAAGAAAAGGCUACACCAAGGACAAAGUUAAAUUCAUAAAUUGAUUAGAUGAGUUGAGGUAAAGAAAAAAACUGGUCAAAUGGACAUCGCAAUUCAUCACUUAAGAAGGAGAAGUAGGAUUGAUGAUUGCCAUGAUGAAGAGUAAAACGAGGAAAACUUGGUGAAGUCGUAUGAAAAUGGAGGAAUGGAAAGACAAAAAUAGACUAGAUGAUGAGUGACUUGAGGUUGGCAAAUGGAUAGUUUGGCAAAGAAGCAAGCUUCAAGUGAUCUCGAGAAUCGAAGGAUUUUUUUCUCUCUCAUCAAAGAAAAACAUGAAAACUGAUGAUAAUUUGAUCAAUUCUUGGAAAGGUGGAUAUGAUUGAAGAUAAAAGGGGAAAAAAAUCUUGAACCAGAAUAACAAAAUUCAACCUGCCAAUCAGUUAAUUGUUAAUCACGAUGACGUGAUUAUGAUGCAUCAAGUAAAGCCAAAGCUGAUUUCAUUUCGUGAUUAACAAUUUUGUAUCUCUUUUUUGCUGUUCAUUAAUCAAUAUUAACGUUACAAUGUCAACUUUAAUAGAGGUUAAUAAAGAUGGCGAGAACAACAUGAAGUUUGAUGAACAAAUGAUGAAGAGCCCAGGAAUAAAAAGGAACCCCCAAUAUGUUUAAAGCAACCUCAAAGAUUCAAAUGUUUUCCAUACAUUUUACAUUCUCUAUUUUAAAAUGGUUCAAAUCUGAUGUACAAUCAUUAUGGAAUGGAAAUGGAUGGCGACAGAGUAUCAUUCAUGGUGGAGCAAAUGAGUUAAAUCGGAAAUUUUACUUUUACAAUCAAACAAUGAAUCGUUUCUAAAUAAUGAAUUCAUUGUUAGUUUCACUUUUAUUUGAAUGUGAUAAAUGGGAAGCAAGACCAUCAACAGGAACAACAAAAUACAUUAAUAAAUCAUAUGUUUUUACAUGAUACAAUUUGAAUGAAAGACAUUUUUAUCUGAUAAAAUUUUCAUCAUUUAACUUGCCUUGUUACUCAGCCUUGAGGCCUUUUUUAUUUCACCAUUCACUCUAUUCAUGUUUUUCAAUUUUUCAAGCUUCCAUUUUUCUUGCUUACUCAUUAUUUGUAUUCAAAUUGAUAUUCAAAUUGAAGCCAAUAUUAUCAUUUGAUGAUAAUGCAGAUGAUUAAUUAGUUUCAUUUUAUCAAACUCUCUGUAAAAUAUUAACUUUUAAUGCUUAAUUGAUGUAUUGAACCUCAGCUAAUGAAACAUCAACUUUAAUGUUAGAAUCAGUGAAAUCUCUCAAAAGUGAAACUUAAUUCAAUUCUGAUUCUGUAUCAAAA